GACUCGUAGCGGAGGACUCAUCAGUCAGCGGAGGACCAUAUCAAUUAUACGGAGGAUGCUUUGGUGGGCCCAGGAGGGCCACCUGGUCGCCAGGGGACAUCUGUCCCCGGGCCCGCGCCCGCCGAAGCGCUCUGUGAACCCUGAUGAAGAUGGGCUGUCUGAGUACUAUGAAAAUUGUCAAAACUUUCAACAAUGGAUCUCUUGGUUCCGGCAUCGAUGAAGAACGCAGCGAAAUGCGAUAAGUAAUGUGAAUUGCAGAAUUCCGUGAAUCAUCGAAUCUUUGAACGCACAUUGCGCCCCCUGGCAUUCCGGGGGGCAUGCCUGUCCGAGCGUCAUUUCUGCCCUCAAGCACGGCUUGUGUGUUGGGUGCGGUCCCCCCGGGGACCUGCCCGAAAGGCAGCGGCGACGUCCGUCUGGUCCUCGAGCGUAUGGGGCUUUGUCACUCGCUCGGGAAGGACUGGCGGGGGUUGGUCACCACCAAAAUUUUUACCACGGUUGACCUCGGAUCAGGUAGGAGUUACCCGCUGAACUUAAGCAUAUCAAUAAGCGGAGGAA
Molecule: ribosomal RNA, 555 nt
Filed under: Talaromyces funiculosus
Lineage: Eukaryota; Fungi; Ascomycota; Eurotiomycetes; Eurotiales; Trichocomaceae
Description: eukaryotic LSU rRNA
Rfam family: 5.8S ribosomal RNA (bases 182-335)
Source: RNAcentral